GGAGCCCGAUGUGGGACUCGAUCCCAGGUCUCCAAGAUCACACCCCGGGCCAAAGGCGGCGCUAAACCACUGAGCCACCAGGGCUGCCCUACUGUUUACCUUCUUAACUUUUGUUAAAUCAAAUAACCAUGCUAUUUGCUAACAGCUUAAAUGCACAAGCAGAGAAAGUAAAGUGUUUAUAAAUUGGGUUCCAUUCGUUAAUUUUCUUUCUUGAUACCACUGACUGCAGAUCUGUCAAAGUUAACUGAACUUUGAUGAAAAUCAUGAGAACCAUAUUAAAAAGAACAACAAAAGCAAGGUAAGACUGCGAUUUCAUACUCUCUUACUACACAGCAUUGGGGAGCAGGAAUCACACGCAUUUUAUUGCUAUUUCUAGAAAAGCUGCCAGCCACGCACAUAGUAGGCUGAUGUAAAAUGCUAAAUACCCAGGAGAAGAUCUAGCACAACAUUUUAUAUUGUAAAAACUCAAAGAAGAUGUUAGAUGAAAAGCUUGGGAAGUAAAACUUGGACUAAAUUGUUGAGAAAUCUGAAACACUCAAAGUGCCUCCUUUUGAUUGGAGGGUAUGAAGAGCACACAAAUGCACAGAAACUGUUCAUUUACAACUUUCUGAUCAGAUUAGCACUGAAUUCUGCUUAGAGCAAAAAUAUGGCCCAAAGGGAAAUAAGUACAAGGUAGAAUUUUAAAGUAUACCAACUAAGUUCACUUAAAGCAAACCAACACAUACUGUUGCUCUCAUUUGCCAAGGAGCACCCAGAAUUACUUUCUAUUUCUUGAAUCACUCUUAGUAUGGCAGCUGUUAGAACAACUAGUUCUUUGCCUCAAGUGUACUCAGAAAGGACAACCGUAUUUGUUCAUUUUUAAGGGUUCAGGGUGAAAUGUGGCACAACUAAUAAUUCUCAAAGUAAGAUAUGUAAGUAGAUAGACGUCUAGUUUUGCAGCACGUAUUUUAAUUGUUAGCACUUAACACAUCUUACACCAAUCAUUUUCAACCCAGAAUGGCAUAAAGGAAGGCUUCACCACAAUUUGCACUUGAAAUAUUAUUUUUGGGUCCAGGUGACAAGGAACUCAGGAAUGACUAGUAAGUUCAUUUGACAUGCCCAGGCCCAUUCCAGCUCUUGCUUCUGAGCUCCCAGCAACUACAGCAACAGGCAGAAGGCCAAACUGUUGGCUCUGGUAGGCAGUUCAGUCGAGAUGUGUCUGGAGGCAGGCUGCCAUUAGGAGGGAGGGGGAGAUACUGGUGACCAGGAUACAUCUGGGUGUGUGGCCACAGCCCUCUCCCACCUGGCCAUCCUCACCUACUGCCAGGAUCCCCUCUUCCUGGCCACGCUCUCUGACGCCCGCUUCCAUAGUCUUCCUCCUGCCCUGGAACCCCCCAGCCCUCCUCUGCCACCCUCUCCUCUCCCACCACACACACCUGAGGACAGGCUGCCUGACUCUCAUCCACCCUGCACCACACUUCACGCAGGUGACAACAGAGUUCAGAAUCUCUUGCAGGGACCUUGUCUCACAUGUGUCCAGUUCAGGAUGUGACUCUGCCUCAGUGUAAAAGAACAAAAGCUAAAACUAUCAAAAAGGCUUUGCUUCCUUCCCCAUCUCCCUGCUCCUGCUGCCAAAACAAACAAAACAAACCACAGCUGCUCGCUUAAGGGGCUCUCUAAGGAUUACAAUAAUGCAAAUCUAUAGUAAAAGUAAUCUGAUAAAAACCUAAAGAACUACAGACACUGCUGGAUGGACAAAACGCAUCUUCCAUGAGCUCUGAACACUCUGCCUUAAAAAUAUACUCACAUACAAUGAACUUUUUUUUACUCCCUUCCUUCAUGCUUUCACUUUAAAAUGAUGCUACCUGCCUCCAUCCUGAUUAAUUUUAAGCUUCUCACUCCUGUUUACAAAAGAAAACUGACUCAUUCAAAGUGGUAAAAGGGGGGAGGCUUUUUGAAAUAGGUUUUUUUUUCCCUCAGUCCUUAGCAUUUUUUGGUUCAUUUAGUAAGAAACAGGAGUUUUCCAUUAUUUUUUAACAAGAAUUAUUUUGCUUGUGCCAAAACGUGCUGGCUGUUUUCUUUCGUGCUUCAUGAUCUCUCAAGUUUUUGAUCUGUGGCAUAGUCACUAAGUCUAAAAAGAGAAAUAGAUCAGCAACCAUUUGUGUGUGUGUGGUGGGGGGGGGGGGCGGGGAGGACUCCCUUUCCUCUGCUAGACUUCAGGCCAGAUGGGAUGGAUGCCUUAUAUUUGUCAUCCUUGCCCAACAGGUACCAUCUUUCCUAGUUAGCAGAUGGGGAAACUGAGGCUUAGAAAGUUUAAGGGACUUGCCUGAAGCUGGUCAGUUGGAAGAAGCUUGUUGUCAACCUGAGGUCUGUCUGUAUUCUAAGCUUGUGCCCUUGCACUGCUCUGAACAGUCAUGGAAACAUCUGUCCCUGUGAGGAGUGAAGAGGGGCUGGAUCUGGACUUGAGCCAGAAAGGAAGGGAGGCAAAAGAACAGAGCAGACUCCCAAGUCACCACCCCCAACCAUAUGAUGCCAGGCCUCAGGCUGCUUUCAUAACAAAACCUCCUUCCUGCUGUGGUAGCAGAAUCUGUCGGGAGAAACUGCAGUUAGCAGUGUUGGUUGUGCCAGAGGAUAACACAGUGAGGGGGAAUAAGAGACAGGAAGAUGUUCUUAAAACUUUGUGAGAAGGCAUUCAAAAAAUACAAAAGAUAGGCCCAAUAAAUCCAAUUUGUGUCAGUGACAAUAAAAACUCGUUUUGGUAAGACUCUCUAAAGGGAUCUCAAAAUUUCACUUCACCCUCCUUAGUGGAAAAUGAUGAUACCAAUAUCUUGCUAAGGAAAUCAGACUGUCUUCUUAACAACAGAAAAAAAAUAAAUAAUCUAGCCACCACCUGAUGAGAUAAACACCAAACUCUGUCUUGAUGAAGCUUGAGCCCAUCUCUGGGCUUGCCCAUAAAAGGGCACGAAUCCUUCAGACCAAAGAGACUCACUCGAUAUGACAAAGACAUCGUUCUAUAACCUCCCUGCUCUCAAGGGAGCAGACCCCUAAGGGGACAUGUUUAAGCAAGUUUAUAUACACAGAAGGUCUAGAAUGCAGGAAGCACCAGCAGCAUCCUGGUUCAUUCAGUAAAUGUUUACUGAGCAUCUACUAUACGCCAGGCAAUGAGCAAAACGAACAGCAUAUAUGGAGCUCACCGGUAUGGCAAUAAGCUAGAGAAAUAAAGAAAGUACCCAGUCUGGUUAAGUAUAGUUGCUGAAAAUUAGAGGAGAGCAAAGAUGUUGCAAGAGGGAAAUUACCCGCUGACUUUAGUCAAAAGAGUGUGGUAAGGUGUCUACUGGGGAGAGAAAUGGAAUGGUGUUGGCGGCUUGUUUCAGGAGCUUUGAGAGGAGGUGACAGCUGGAGGAUGAGCAGGAUAGAGAGAGGGGUUUUUUCUUUAAGACACUAGCAAUGACAGCACGUGUGUACAUUGACAAUAUGAUCCAGUAGAUGCAGGACAGAGACAUCACACAAAAGUACUGAGAACAAGCGAAUAACCACGAGAACCCCAAACUUUAACACAGGUGGUGAGUGAUGGCUUCGAGGGGCCAGAAGGCCGUAUGGGACGUCUUGUAAGUGGCCUGGGACACUGGAGGAGACCGUUCUAAAUGGUAAGGGCUCUCAAAGAGCGCCAGGGGGGCACGCUGCGAGAUGCACAGGAAACCAGGGAUGCUGCCGUGGGGCUGUUACUGGACCCCAGCGAGUCAGCAGCUCCCCUCCAGCACACAUUACAAACCGCCACCGAGGAAGAGUGACAGGAAGCGACAACUCUCCACUUGCCGCUCUUUCGGCCAAAAGCAGGUCAUCUGCUCAAUUACAAUUCCAUCUCCUAACAGACAGAGGAAGAACAUACUGCUGCCGCGAGUUUGGAGUUCACCAGUGGGAAAUCAGAGACCCCAGGGAGAAAGAGCUCGGAAUCUACAGAGUAUAUAGUAACUAAGGCAGGAAUUCAAUCAUCCGACAAAGAGCGACUGAGUGUCUACCACGCGCCAGCCGCCGCCGCAGGUGCCCGGUGCCCGGUGCCCGAGAUACCGGCGCUGAGUGUGGCGUUCACAGCAUCCCAGCGAGCGGACUGCACAAUUCAGAGUAAAGUGAGAUCUGAUGUCUGCAUUUUAAGGAAGAAUAGCCGGGGAGCAGAGCCAAAGACCGAAAGGGAGGGAAUACUAGUAACCCAUUCCAGCGGCGAGCGAGGCGAAGACGUCAGAGAGGCCCAAAUGCACUGAGGAAAGAAGGUGCCCAGCCCAGGCAUGUGUGAUCCCGGAGGCCAGCGCCCAUGAGCAGACAGGGCUCACGCGGCUGCAUCCUCCAUGGUUCUGGGGUUCCCACCCCAGCUCCACCCUCUGCCACCGCAUCUCCCUGGUCGUCUUGUUCCUUACCUGUGCCAUGCAGAUGGCCCUAAGAUCUACCUUAGCGCAAGGGGCAAUACGUGUUAGCCACUGUUCUUUUUAAUGAGCUGCAGAAAUAUUACCACGGAACAUCAGACACUGCAGAGGCAAUUUGCACAUUGAUUGAAGAGUUUUUGAACAAUUGAAACUAUCCCGAACUAGAACUAACUCCUUUGUAAAGAGUGAGGUCUUUCUCCCAGGAAGGGUUUGUGCAGACAUAGGCUUACCAUCUGUCUAAGAAAUUUCAGAGGUUCCUGCCGUGGGAGAGAGGGUAUGAAAGGUGCAUGUCCAGUGCCUUCCCAAUAGGUCUGUUUCUCUGAAAUGUCCUCAUUGCCCAGAUUUAAUAUACCAUGCUCAAAGGAAGAAGACAGGAACACGAGGACAGAGAAAACGCAAAGACAUAACAUGAAGUUAGCAGAAACAUUUAAAGAUAAAUUGUCCUAAGUUAUUAAGCGCUGAGAGAAUAACUGAACACACUGUAUCAAGAAAGUGGGAAGAACAUUUUGGGGGGCUGGUAGAUGGAGAGUGAGAGAGAGAAUUCUCUCAAUUAGACUCCUUGCUGAGUGUAGAGCCUGACAUGGAGCUGGAUCUCACAACCAAGAUCAUGAUCUGAGCUGAAAUCAAGAGUCAGACAACCUCAGUGACCGACUGAGGCACCCAGGUGCCC
This 5067-nucleotide long non-coding RNA is filed under the name Canis lupus familiaris (dog). Its description in RNAcentral is "lncRNA (ENSCAFG00845027596.1)". Lineage: Eukaryota; Metazoa; Chordata; Mammalia; Carnivora; Canidae. The record is from RNAcentral.